Molecule: long non-coding RNA, 1181 nt
Filed under: Homo sapiens (human)
Lineage: Eukaryota; Metazoa; Chordata; Mammalia; Primates; Hominidae
Description: HSALNT0082380
Source: RNAcentral
GAGAGCUGAAAGACUGGGGUGUGUGUGUGUGUGUGUGUGUGUGUGUGCGCGCACGUAGCUUCUCAUUUCGUCUGGAGGUCUCUCUCAGCAGAGUGGCUACAAACUUUAGCCCUGCCCUGAUGAGAUUCCUGGGCAUUUGGUCACGGAUGUUGACAGUGUGCCUUUUACUAACGACUUCAUUCUGGCAGACAGCCUACUGCCUAAAUGUCCAACCUGUGACCAGGCCUCCCUUCCACAAGAAGCUUGUUGAUACUGGCAGACACCCUGUGGCUCUUGCCUGACCUGUGUGCAGUUUAUUCCUACCAGGAUGGCCGAUCUCUAGGAGAGUCUUGACGGAGAAAGAAGCUGGGUUCAGAUGCAGCUGGAGAGCCUGGGGUGAGAACAUGAGCAGUCUAUAAUCAGAAAAUCCCUUUGGGAUAAAUUGACAAAAAUAUAAACCACUCCACAAAGGAGAAAUUGUAAAUGCAAAAGAAACAAUCAAUAAACAGAUAAUCUACAGAAUGGUAAAAAAUAUUUGUGAGCUAUGCAUUUGACCAAAGGCUAAUAUCCAGAAUCUACAAGGAAUUCAGACAACUCAACAAGGCAAAAACAACCCCAUUAAAAAGUGGGGGAAAGACAUGAAAAGACAUUUUUUCAAAAGAAGACAUACAAAUGGUCAAGAAAAAUAUAAGCAAAUUCUCAACAUCACUAAUCAUCAGAUAAAUGCAAAUUAAAACCACAAGAAUAUACCAUCUUACACCAGAGAAAAUGCCUAUUAUUAAAAAGUCUAAAAACAACAGAUGUUGGUGAGGAUGCAAGAAAAAGGGAACACAUAUACAUUGUUUUUGGAAAUGUAAAUUAGUUCAACCUUUCUGAACAACAGUACAGAGAUUUCUCAGAGAACUAAAAAAAGAACUACCAUUCAAUCUAGCAAUCUGACUACUGGGUAUCUACCCAAAGGGAAAUAAAUCAUUACAUCCAAAAGACACCUGCACUCCUGUGUUUAUCACAACACUAUUCACAAUAGCAAACAUAUGGAAUCAAACUAAGAGUCCAUUAACAGACGACUGCAUAAAGAAGAUGUGGCAUAUAUAUUCCUUGUAAUACUACGUGAACAUAAAAAGAAUAAAAUCGGCUGAUUGCAGUGGCUCACACCUGUAAUCCCAGCACUUUGGGAGGCUGAGGCGGGUGGAUCAUGAAGU